This 971-nucleotide long non-coding RNA is filed under the name Brassica napus (rape). RNAcentral describes it as "long non-coding RNA (BNAP_LNC018241)". The record is from RNAcentral. Lineage: Eukaryota; Viridiplantae; Streptophyta; Magnoliopsida; Brassicales; Brassicaceae.
UUAAUCAGAUUUUCUUAUUUCCUUUCUCUUCCCUGCUAAGCAAGAUGCAUUGCGAUUUCCUCUUCUGUGGACGCACUGGAAUAUGAUCCGGGACUAAUUCCUGAGACAUCAGGUCAGAGAUCUUAGGAGUAGAUGCCGUGGGGAGAAGGAAUUCUACGACUGAUUGAGCCAACAAAUCCUAGCUAGAAUCUAAUCUGGAAAGAGCUCUCUCCUUGUUAGUUUUUCACAGACUGAACCUUUUUUCAUCUACUUGUUUGUUCUCUGCUCUCUCCUCGUCACUUUAUUUUCUUUUUCUUUUUUCCUCUUACAUCUCUCUUAGUCUUCUUUAUCUUCAUCUACUUAUGCUAUUUCUAACUGAUUUUUGUUUUGUUUACAGAUCUGAGGAGGACCAGUGAUGAAACGGGAAGGGACUUCAUCUACUUAUGCUAUUUCUAACUGAUUUUUGUUUUGUUUACAGAUCUGAGAAGGACCAGUGAUGAAACGGGAAGGGGAAGUGGUGGUGUAACGGAGCAUACGCGCCGGAGGUGGUGGUGGCGUGACGAAUCGGAGGAACCGCAGAUGCUGUAUCUAUCAGACCAACACCAGUGGCUUCCCGACCCGAUCGAGUAGUCGCUUUAGAUGGAACCACUCCGAGUCGCCGCUUCAUAUGGAACCACUCCGAUUCGUCGUGGUGCCGUUCAACCAGUGGUGGAAACCGUGCCGCCGUGGCUGAACCCAUAGAGAUGAUGAUGGUGUAUUUGUGUAUUUGUGUAUAUUUGUGUAUUUAUCUUUGUAAUUUUACUUUGAGAAAAUGACUAGGAUAGCACUAAAAAAGUUUGUGUCACAAAUAUAACCUCCUAAGAAUAAAAAUGACCAAAAUAGCACUUAAUGUUUUAUCAAAAGAGAUAAAUAUACAUUUAUACUCCAAUGGUAAAUUAAUUUAGACAUUAGGGUUUAUAGUUAAGGGGUGGAGUUUAGGAUUUAGGGUUUAG